UCAAAGAUUAAGCCAUGCAUGUCUAAGUAUAAGCAAUUUAUAUGUGUGAAACUGCGAAUGGCUCAUUAAAUCGGUUAUAAAGUAUUUGAUAGUGAAAGACUAUAUGGAUAGCCAUAGUAAUUCUAGAGCUAAUACAUGCGUAAAGGCCUAACUCGUUGAGGGAAAGGCUGUGUUUAUUAGAUUGAAAACCAGCGGCAACAGCAGGAUGCAAGUCUUGUUGUUGUAAGUUUUGGGUGAGUCAUAAUAAAUGAGCGAAUCUUCGGUUUACGAAGAUGAAACAUUUCUAUUUCCGCUCUAUCAACUUUGACGUUAAGGUAGUGGCUUAACGAAGUUUUGACGGAUAACGGAGAAUUAGGGUUCGAUUCCGGAGAGGGAGCCUGAGAAACGGCUACCACUUCUAAGGAAGGCAGCAGGCGCGAAAAUUACCCAAUCCCAAUUAUCUUGGGGAGGUAGUGACAAAAAAUAACAAUGUUUGGUGAUUCGUCAUCAGCAAUUGUAAUGGUCUGGAUUUAAAAAGUCCAGGGAGUAGCCAUUAGAGGGCAAGUCUGGUGCCAGCAGCCGCGGUAAUUCCAGCUCUAAUAGUGUAUACUAAAAUUGCUGCAGUUAAAAAGCUCGUAGUUGGAUUUUAGGUGGAGCUGUAUGUCAGCUUGAUUGGGGAUGUUUUUUGUUCUGUUGGGGGUUGACCUUGUAUCUAAAGGCAGCCUUACACCUUCAGACGGGAUAUCCUUUAUUAUUCGAUCAAGAUGAUUGUUUCACCCAUUUUUUUUCGGGUUGGCUCUGUCCUCUUUACUGAGUGGCAGAGUUGAUUCGGAGGAUUUACUUUGAAGAAAAUGUAGUGUUCAAAGCAGGCGUUUGCAGCUGAACACAUUAGCAUGGAAUAAUAAAAUAAGACAUCGGCGAUUAAUUUCCUUUUCACUAAGGUUCGUCUUUAAUUUCUUCUCAUUCUUCAUCUUAUUUCUAAGCAUUUCUUUGUUUGGGGUGAGGUGGAUGUAUUGGGAAGGAGUUGGGAUUGAAAGGUGGGAGAUUGGGGUUAAUCUACAGUAAUGUAUUCGUUUUGUUGGUUCAUGGAGUUGAUGUAAUGAUUAAUAGGAAUAGUCGGGGAUAUCCGUAUUGCAUUGUCAGAGGUGAAAUUCUUGGAUUUAUGCAAGACGAACUAAUGCGAAAGCAUUUAUCAAGGAUGUUUUCAUUAAUCAAGAACGAAAGUAAGGGGAUCGAAGACGAUCAGAAACCGUUGUAGUCCUUGCCAUAAACUAUACCGUCUAAGAAUCGGUGGUUGUCACAUUUUACGACUCCUCCGGCGCUUUUAGAGAAAUCAUAAGUCUUUGGGUUCUGGGGGGAGUAUGGUCGCAAGGCUGAAACUUAAAGAAAUUGACGGAAGGGCACCACCAGGUGUGGAGCCUGCGGCUUAAUUUGACUCAACACGGGGAAACUUACCAGGUCCGGACACGGGAAGGAUUGACAGAUUGAUAGCUCUUUCUUGAUUCCGUGGGUGGUGGUGCAUGGUCGUUCUUAGUUGGUGGAGUGAUUUGUCUGGUUAAUUCCGAUAACGAACGAGACCUCAACCUACUAAAUAGCCAGGUUUCAAGUUUAAGGUGUUAGGGCAACCUAGCAUUCUGCUUGAGGCUCCUAAUAUGGUUUCUUCUUAGGGGGACUACCGUAUUUUUUUUAAACGGGGGAAGCAUGAGGCAAUAACAGGUCUGUGAUGCCCUUAGAUGUCCUGGACCGCACGCGCGCUACAAUGAUGCAGUCAGCGAGUUUGUCCUACCCCGAAAGGGUUCGGUAAUCUUUUAAAACUGCAUCGUAGUGGGGAUUGAUCUUUGUAAUUCUGGAUCAUGAACCAGGAAUACCUAGUAGGUACAAUUCAUCAGAUUGUGCCGAUUACGUCCCUGCCCUUUGUACACACCGCCCGUCGCUCCUACCGAUGAUUGUUCAGAUGAAAUGCUCGGAUUGUGCGGUUGUGGCUGCAUUCGUGUGGUUGCUUACUGUUCUGGAGAAGAGUAGUAAAUCUUAACAGUUAGA
Molecule: ribosomal RNA, 2019 nt
Filed under: Opisthomitus sp. Glx476Opi
Lineage: Eukaryota; Preaxostyla; Oxymonadida
Description: partial small subunit ribosomal RNA
Rfam family: Eukaryotic small subunit ribosomal RNA
Source: RNAcentral